UAUGUGUGGGUCGUCAUAGUGUGCGGUAACCCGGGACUUAGCGAGACAAGCUACAUUGAUCGUUGGUGUGAUUUGUUUCACUUGCGGUUGUGCUCUCCUGCUCACUCGCCACUUCCUCUCCUUGUCUAGAAUUGUAUGGUCAGCACUGUUUAGUUGUGAAGCGUUAACCAAUCAGAUUUCUCUACCUGCUUCAUAAUUCUAAGUCAGUUGCCCCUAUCUUGGCUUACUAUGGUGAGGCACUACUGUAUUAUGGUGAGGCAUAACGGCAUGAAUGUAACCAUAUAAUCUAAUAGAAGCUAAGCGAGACUUUCAUCCGCAAGAAUUGUUUUCAAAAGUUAUGUGUCACUAAAAAUACAUUCGGUGGAAAAUGUUGAAAACAUUGAAAUAUGGAAGGAAAAGUUGCCGUGUGUUUCAACAGACAAUAGUAUCGAGAAGAUCGUUUUUGGCUGAAGCGUACCGGUGCACAGAAGCAUGGCAAGCACGACUUCAGUCUCCAUUAUUGCAAAAAAUUAAACCCCAUAGUUUUUUCAUAGAGAUAGAUCAUAAAUAUUCUAUUACUGGCAAAUAUAGCGCGAUCGACGUUGAUCUAUUUGCAAAUACAAUACAGGACAAAGAACAGGUGGAAGAAUUGUUGUCCACAAUUUAUAAUUUGAGGUUAACCUCCGAUACAACGAAUACAUUGGAGUCGACGCAUCACGCUACCAUUAGAUACUUAUUGGAUAAUGAUUUAACAGAAGAACUUGUGACUGUUUUGCAUGACAGACUUAAUUAUGGAAUUUUUCCAGAUUAUCAGUGUUAUAAUAUUCUUAUGGAUACAUAUUUAAAAAAGGAAGAUUAUGCUAGUGCUGCAAAAAUUGCUGUACUACCUAUGCUACAAGAAGACAACACCAAUCCAAUAACUAAUGCAUUAUCCAUUUAUUCUUGUUAUAAAUAUUUAGAAAAACCUGAAGUUUGGAUAAAACCACAGCCAGAGGAAGAUACUGGUGAAGAAAUUAAAGUACGUGUACAUUACCUUCAAAAUGAGUACUUUGAUGACCAUUUUGAUCUCACAGAUCCACGUGAUUUAGUAGGAAAAACUUUGGCUUUUUAUGGGAAACUUAUGUGUAACACAUUAGGAAGAACAUGUCAAUUAAGAGGUUUAAUAUUAUAUAAAAAGUAUGAAGAAGUAUCAAAUGUAAUAGAAGAAUGGUUGAAAGAUGUCAAAGAUGAUGUUGUAUAUAAAGAAGUUUUUGAUUUGAUACAGAAAGAUAAUGAAAGUAUACCUGAGGAAGAAAUAAAAAAUGUAAUGCUCAAACUUGACAAAUUGAAAACUCAAAAACUUUGUGAAAACAGUUUAACUAAAGCAAUAGAAAAUGAAGUAAAAUUUGCUGUUGAUAAACAAGCAGAUAUAGAUAUAGCAGAGCAAUUAAAGGCAUACAAUGAUUGGAUAAAGAAAAGGGAAAUAGUGUUACAGAAACAAAACGACAUGCAUAAUCGUGAAGUUAGACUAAAGAAUGUAGAGGAAAUCAAGAAGUCUUUGGCUAAGCAGGAAAGACUAUUGACAUUUUUUGAUAAUGAAGAAGAGAUAGAAUUGAAAAUAGAGGAACUAGAAAAAGCAGACAAAAAAGAAAUGGAACGUGUUCUUAAGCAACAUGGUGCAGAACGUAAAUUAAGAAAAUUAAAGGAAAAAGAAGUAUACAGACCACCCACAUUUUGAAAAUACAAUAAUUAAGUCUGACGCUCUCAUAAUUGAUGAAUAAUAUUGUAGUUAAAAAAUUAUUUAAUAAAUUGCGUUUAAACAAAAUUUGUUUUUGAAAGGAUGAACAUGAUCAGCAGUUAUUCUCUCCAAAUUUGCUCCGACAUUUUUCGUAGAUUCAGAAUCAAUCUAUGAAAGUAACAUAUAUAUUACGUAAAAUUAUGAAAACAAAUAUUAGAUUUUUAA
Molecule: non-coding RNA, 1921 nt
Organism: Megalopta genalis
Lineage: Eukaryota; Metazoa; Arthropoda; Insecta; Hymenoptera; Halictidae
Source: RefSeq, a predicted model, not a curated record